UGGGGAAUCAUGGUCAAUGGGCGAAAGCCUGCACCUGCGACGCCGCGUGAGUGAUGAAGGUCGUAAGAUCGUAAAACUCUUUUCAGGGAUCUUAAAGCCUGUCUGUCAACAACAGGCAGGUCUGACUCUCCCUGGAAGAAGCCCCAGCCAACUACGUGCCAGCAGCUGCGGUAAUACGUAGGGGGCGAGCGUUAUUCGGAAUUACUGGGUGUAAAGGGUAUGUAGGCGGCCCUUCAAGUCGCGUGUCAAAGUCCAGUGCUCAACGCUGGGUGUGCACGCGAUACUGACUGGCUUUAGGACUGGAGAGUUGAGCGGAAUUCCCGGUGUAGUGGUAAAAUACGUAGAGAUCGGGAGGAACACCAGCGGCGCAGGCGGCUCACUAGACAGUGUCUGACGCUAAGAUACGAAAGCGUGGGGAGCAAACA
RNAcentral lists this ribosomal RNA (425 nucleotides) under uncultured prokaryote. Its description in RNAcentral is "bacterial SSU rRNA". It matches the Rfam family "Bacterial small subunit ribosomal RNA", at positions 355 to 774 of the family's 1533-position model. The record is from RNAcentral.